RNAcentral lists this ribosomal RNA (448 nucleotides) under uncultured bacterium. Its description in RNAcentral is "partial 16S ribosomal RNA". It matches the Rfam family "Bacterial small subunit ribosomal RNA", at positions 29 to 523 of the family's 1533-position model. The record is from RNAcentral.
AACGAACGCUGGCGGCAGGCUUAACACAUGCAAGUCGAGCGCCCCGCAAGGGGAGCGGCAGACGGGUGAGUAACACGUGGGAACCUUCCUAGAGGUACGGAACAACUCAGGGAAACUUGAGCUAAUACCGUAUACGCUCUUGCGAGGAAAGAUGUUAUCGCCUUUAGACGGGCCCGCGUCGGAUUAGCUAGUGGGUGGGGUAACGGCCUACCAAGGCGACGAUCCGUAGCUGAUCUGAGAGGAUGAUCAGCCACACUGGGACUGAGACACGGCCCAGACGCCUACGGGAGGCAGCAGUGGGGAAUCUUGGACAAUGGGCGCAAGCCUGAGCCAGCCAUGCCGCGUGAGUGAAGAAGGCCUUCGGGUUGUAAAGCUCUUUUGCCAGGGACGAUAAUGACGGUACCUGGAGAAUAAGCCCCGGCAAACUUCGUGCCAGCCGCCGCGGUAA